Molecule: ribosomal RNA, 254 nt
Filed under: uncultured bacterium
Lineage: Bacteria
Description: partial 16S ribosomal RNA
Rfam family: Bacterial small subunit ribosomal RNA
Source: RNAcentral
UACGUAGGCAGCAAGCGUUGUUCGGAGUUACUGGGCGUAAAGAGUAUGUAGGCGGUUGCUUAAGUUUGGUGUGAAAUCUCCCGGCUUAACUGGGAGGGUGCGCCGAAAACUGAGCGGCUGGAGUGCCGGAGAGGAACGCGGAAUUCCUGGUGUAGCGGUGAAAUGCGUAGAUAUCAGGAGGAACACCAGUGGUGUAGACGGCGUUCUGGACGGUUACUGACGCUGAGAUACGAAAGCGUGGGGGAGCAAACAGG